GAUGAACGCGGGCGGCGUGCCUAAUACAUGCAAGUCGAGCGAACAGAUGAGGAGCUUGCUCCUCUGACGUGAGCGGCGGACGGGUGAGUAACACGUGGAUAACCUACCUAUAAGACUGGGAUAACUGCGGGAAACCGGAGCUAAUACCGGAUAAUAUAUUGAACCGCAUGGUUCAAUAGUGAAAGACGGUUUUGCUGUCACUUAUAGAUGGAUCCGCGCCGCAUUAGCUAGUUGGUAAGGUAACGGCUUACCAAGGCAACGAUGCGUAGCCGACCUGAGAGGGUGAUCGGCCACACUGGAACUGAGACACGGUCCAGACUCCUACGGGAGGCAGCAGUAGGGAAUCUUCCGCAAUGGGCGAAAGCCUGACGCAGCAACGCCGCGUGAGUGAUGAAGGUCUUCGGAUCGUAAACCUCUGUUGUUAGGGAAGAACAAAUGUGUAAGUAACUAUGCACGUCUUGACGGUACCUAAUCAGAAAGCCACGGCUAACUACGUG
This 497-nucleotide ribosomal RNA is filed under the name uncultured bacterium. RNAcentral's name for it is "partial 16S ribosomal RNA". It matches the Rfam family "Bacterial small subunit ribosomal RNA", at positions 28 to 507 of the family's 1533-position model. The record is from RNAcentral.